UUACAAUUAUAAAAUACAAUCAUAUUAACUGCGAAUAUUCUUCACGGUGCGAACUUGUUUUUAAAGCCUCGUUUUUAAUCUGACCUGAUCGAGAGAAUGGACGCAUUAUUAUUAAUACAGUUUGAAUAGAUUUACCCGUUUUAUGAUUUAUCACUGAAUGAACAGAUAGAUACAUCUAGAUAGAUGCUCUUGUGCUGUCCGUUAUAAGCAUUUAAUUCUUUCAUACCUCCGGGACAUAUGUUUCACCUACGAAAAAAAUCAUGACUUUUAAACAAAUAAGCUUAUCGACCUUUCCCAAGGGAAAGGUCGAUAAGCUUAUUUUAAAGAAGAAAGUUUAAGCUACAUGUACAAAAAUCGCGCACUUUGAAAUAUAUUUGCCAGGGCUGGGUAAUGUCUAGUUAAAAAGAUAAAAGUUAAGUUAAAAAAUUAAAUAACUUUAACUUAACUUAGUUACAUUCCUAGACUCUUAACUUUUAACUUAAUUUAGUUACAUUUUAUCGAUAACUUAUAACUUUUUAUGUUACUCUUUUGAAGUUAACUAUGCCAUAAAUAAAGGCGUCGCGAGAUGCCGCGCGCUUGCCUACAAGUGAUUCUACAUUAUAAGUCACAGGUUGCAGUACUAGUCGAUUUGGCUUCCUCUUUUCCCCAAACGCUGGUCGUAAAAUUAACGCAAUUUACGUGAUCGCAAGUAGAUUUUGUGUAAAAAACGCAAUGAGUGUUAACGUUGACGAAUUUGAUUCGUCUAUGUCGACUGAAAAAGAUUUUGAUUGGGGUGAUUUGUCGCAAUCUACAGUCGAUCGCAAAAGCGUGCUAUGCAUGUGGUCUCACUUUCGCGAUUUUUUUGAGUUCGACACUCACGAUCAAAAAAUCGGAAAUGCUUCUUAUGUAAACCCAAGAAAAAAUACAUAUCGGCAUCGCGGAUUGCUCGAUUAGACACAGUACGAUUAGACACAGCCAAUCAUAUAGACCGAUGCCUAGGGUAACCAGCACGAUCAAGCACGAUUAGCCAAUUAAAGCCAGUUGUGUCCAAUUGUACUGUGUCUAAUCGGAGGUGUCUCUCGGCAUCAGUGUCUUCAAACUCGAAUUUGAAAACGCACAUCAAACAUUAUACAUCCUAGUAAAUUAGACGAUUUUAACAAAGCUUCGAAAAAUACACUAGCAGUUAAAAGAAAUUUAGCACACGAAAAUCUGAUGAGCAAAAACCAGAUUCAAAACAAAGGAAGUUGGAUCAUUUCAGAAAAAAUAAAUUUUUAACUAAACAAAAGUUUGAUCAAAUUACUUUAAAGCUUAUUAUCAAUACUGCGUCUGCAUUUUCACUUGUCGAGCACGAAGCAUUUAUCGAGUUUUGUGAAACAAUUCAGCAAAUGCCUAUGACUUGCAAAACUCUUAUGACGCAUAUUGAUAAAACAUUCGAAAAAAUGAAAAUGGAACUGAUCGAAGAACUAAAGAAAGUGGAAUAGGUGUGUGUAACGGCAGAUUGCUGGACGGCAUUUAGAAGAUCCUACUUGGGCAUGACAAUACACUGGUUGGAUCAUGAUACUCUGGAGAGAAAAUCAAUCAUGUGUGCCAUCGACUUGAAGGGAGACAUACAUACGAUGUUAUUGCAAGGGAAAUUGAGAUGAGUGUAUAGUGAGAUUGAAGAUGCUAAAACAGAAAAUGAACGUGGAAAACAUCUAGAAUCGGUAGAAAUAUCGGAAAUUUUAACCACUAACGGAGAAAGUUAUAGACUACCACCUCAAUAAAAAUGUACUUCUCAUACACUAAAUUUAGUUAGUACCAUCGAUACAACUUGUGCUGAGGCAGAUAUUACAAUAAUUACAAAGAAAUUAGCAGAAGGGCAUUCGCAAAAUGUCAAGCUAUCUUCAACAAGCAAAAUCAAUCGUCUGUUGCAGCAGAUAUGGUUAAAAAAUGUCUUGGAAAAUAUUUAAAAGUUCCAAACGCUACAAGAUGGAAUUCAUUCUAUGGUGCUAUAGUGGAGGUAAUGAGACCGUUGCCAAAGGUUUAGAUAUCUUACAAGGAGAUAAACAUAUUUUUAUGGGAUAUUUAUUGCCUACGUUAGUAUCAAUCGAAGAACAUUUAAAUCAAAAGCUAACUGAGGUGUUUCAUGUAAAACCAUUAGUAAAUGCUCUCCUGAAAGGUAUUUACAAAAGAUUUCACUAUCUCUAUCAGUCUAAUGAUCUGAGGAUUGUUGCCUGUUUGAUACCAGAUUUUAAAUUGUGCUGAAUACAAGAUAAAAACGAAAAAAAGAGGUUACCGAACUUUUAAAAUCGAUUGUUCAAAAGUUUAAUUUCAAAGAUGCAGAAGUUCAUACAAGUAUACUCAAAGAACAGAAGGUCUUACGCAAAACCGACGAUUUUUUUAUAUUUCAUAACACGCCGGACCAGAACCGAAACGAAAACGCGAUAAUAACUGAUCAUAUUAUUCAAACCUACUUGUCAAUUGAUACAUUUGCGACGGAAAAAGAUUUCCCUAAGGCACUCAAAUGUGCUUUUAUAAAAUAUAAUACUUCGAUACCAUCUUCAGCUCACGUUGAACGGUUAUUCAGUGCAGGAGGGCUCGUUUUCGAUAAUCUUCGAGGAAAAAUGUCUGAUAAGAAUUUCGAAAUGGCUUUAUUACUUAAAUUUAAUAAGUAUUUGUAAAUAAAAUAUAAAGUAUGUUUCUAAAUAAAGUGUAUAAGUAUAAUAAAUAAAGUGAUGUUUGUUAUUUCCGCUAUUUGUAAGACUGUGA
RNAcentral lists this long non-coding RNA (2727 nucleotides) under Camponotus floridanus (Florida carpenter ant). RNAcentral describes it as "uncharacterized LOC105251737, transcript variant X1". Lineage: Eukaryota; Metazoa; Arthropoda; Insecta; Hymenoptera; Formicidae. The record is from RNAcentral.